GAGGGUCCGUCUGUCUCUUACAAUAAAUCAAUUAAACUGAUCUCCUAGUAAAAAAGCUAGAAUCCACACACAAGACCAAAAGACCCUGUGAAGCUUAAACUAAACUAUUAAACCCUAUAAUACCUACUUUCGGUUGGGGCGACCUUGGAAAAAAAAAGAACUUCCAAACACAUGACCACACUCAUCAUUCACGGCCCACAAGCCUUACAAUAGACCCAGUACAGCUGAUAAUUGAACCAAGUUACUCCAGGGAUAACAGCGCUAUCUUCUUCAAGAGUCCAUAUCAAAAAGAAGGUUUACGACCUCGAUGUUGGAUCAGGACAUCCUAGUGGUGCAACCGCUAUUAAGGGUUCGUUUGUUCAACGAUUAAUAGU
This 374-nucleotide ribosomal RNA is filed under the name Sibon leucomelas. Its description in RNAcentral is "Sibon nebulatus leucomelas partial large subunit ribosomal RNA". It matches the Rfam family "Bacterial large subunit ribosomal RNA", at positions 2006 to 2594 of the family's 2925-position model. Lineage: Eukaryota; Metazoa; Chordata; Lepidosauria; Squamata; Dipsadidae. The record is from RNAcentral.